This 84-nucleotide ribosomal RNA is filed under the name Syzygiella undata. RNAcentral describes it as "partial 26S ribosomal RNA". It matches the Rfam family "Eukaryotic large subunit ribosomal RNA", at positions 1 to 83 of the family's 3401-position model. RNAcentral also lists the same sequence under 1 other name. Lineage: Eukaryota; Viridiplantae; Streptophyta; Jungermanniopsida; Jungermanniales; Adelanthaceae. The record is from RNAcentral.
UGGACCUCAGAUCAGGCAAGAUUACCCGCUGAGUUUAAGCAUAUCACUAAGCGGAGGAAAAGAAACUAACUAGGAUUUCCCUAG